AGCGAACGCUGGCGGUAGGCCUAACACAUGCAAGCCGAACGGCAGCACAGUAAGAGCUUGCUCUUACGGGUGGCGAGUGGCGGACGGGUGAGGAAUACAUCGGAAUCUACUUUUUCGUGGGGGAUAACGUAGGGAAACUUACGCUAAUACCGCAUACGACCUACGGGUGAAAGCAGGGGAUCUUCGGACCUUGCGCGAUUGAAUGAGCCGAUGUCGGAUUAGCUAGUUGGCGGGGUAAAGGCCCACCAAGGCGACGAUCCGUAGCUGGUCUGAGAGGAUGAUCAGCCACACUGGAACUGAGACACGGUCCAGACUCCUACGGGAGGCAGCAGUGGGGAAUAUUGGACAAUGGGCGCAAGCCUGAUCCAGCCAUACCGCGUGGGUGAAGAAGGCCUUCGGGUUGUAAAGCCCUUUUGUUGGGAAAGAAAAGCAGCAGGUUAAUACCCCGCUGUUCUGACGGUACCCAAAGAAUAAGCACCGGCUAACUUCGUG
RNAcentral lists this ribosomal RNA (492 nucleotides) under uncultured bacterium. RNAcentral describes it as "partial 16S ribosomal RNA". It matches the Rfam family "Bacterial small subunit ribosomal RNA", at positions 29 to 507 of the family's 1533-position model. The record is from RNAcentral.